Molecule: ribosomal RNA, 468 nt
Filed under: uncultured bacterium
Lineage: Bacteria
Description: partial 16S ribosomal RNA
Rfam family: Bacterial small subunit ribosomal RNA
Source: RNAcentral
GACGAACGCUGGCGGCGUGCUUAACACAUGCAAGUCGAACGGAAAGGCCCUGCUUUUGUGGGGUGCUCGAGUGGCGAACGGGUGAGUAACACGUGAGUAACCUGCCCUUGACUUUGGGAUAACUUCAGGAAACUGGGGCUAAUACCGGAUAGCAGCUCCUGCUGCAUGGUGGGGGUUGGAAAGUUUCGGCGGUUGGGGAUGGACUCGCGGCUUAUCAGCUUGUUGGUGGGGUAGUGGCUUACCAAGGCUUUGACGGGUAGCCGGCCUGAGAGGGUGACCGGCGACAUUGGGACUGAGAUACGGCGCAGACUCCUACGGGAGGCAGCAGUGGGGAAUAUUGCACAAUGGGCGGAAGCCUGAUGCAGCAACGCCGCGUGCGGGAUGACGGCCUUCGGGUUGUAAACCGCAUUCGCCUGUGACGAAGCGUGAGUGACGGUAAUGGGUAAAGAAGCACCGGCUAACUACGUG